Molecule: long non-coding RNA, 1495 nt
Organism: Alligator sinensis (Chinese alligator)
Lineage: Eukaryota; Metazoa; Chordata; Crocodylia; Alligatoridae
Exons: 3
Source: RefSeq, a predicted model, not a curated record
UUGCCCCCAAGACUAACGGGUAUCUCCUGCAUCCAGAGCUGGUCGUGAAGAGCGCCCAGUAAAGCCAGUGCUCCCAGUCCCUGCUAUCAGGCAGACUUCCCUAACAGACGAGAGUUUUCCUGGAGGCUAGUGCACGUGCUGACCCCUAUCAAAAGCCAGACCGGAGCGUUUCCGAGGGGGACUUGCAAAGGUGCUCCAGAAAAACAAAAGUAUAGUAGGUGGGGUUUGUGCACACCGUGAAUUUGCAGGUCUGUGAGCCGACUGCCAUUUGUGGACUAGCUGGUGAGAUGGUGUUGCAGCCGGCAGGAGUUCUUGGUAACAUAACUACUCGUGCCCUCCCGCCUGCACAGCGGCAGUAGUCGCAGCUCCUGCAAUCAGAGUCUCGUGCUUGGCCACUCUCAGGAGGGCUGUGGAGGUUCCUAUCUUGUGUGUGUGACCAGAGUCACUUAUGUGCAGCCUCAGCAAGUCCCGUUGCUGUCCCGUGAGGGCAGAGGGAGGGCCGCUUAGUCCCUUGUAACCUGAGUUUCCAAAACAUGUUGGAGCACGGAGCAGAGGACAGGAGUUCUCUAUUGUGGUGCCAAAGUACAAGUAAAGAGGCAAUGAGCUUUAAACACUAGACUUUGUGGCCAAACACCCAGCCAGCCUUCUACGUGGGCUUCUGGGAGCAUGCCUGAAAUGAUGCCGAGCACCUCAUUCGGGCACGGGACGUGCUGCGGUAGAGUCAUCUUGUUUGAUGCUCUUAGCAGCAGUCAGUGAGUUUCUGACCCUCCCCUUGUUCCCCUGCAAGAAACUGGGCUAGGCUGUUUUGGGGACUAGCAAAAUUCUCCUUGACCUUUAUGGCAAUUUUUGUAUGCCAAGCACAGGAAUGGAUUACAUCAGGUUACCAGAUUGUAUUAAAAGGUUGGAUGCAGAUCAGAUUUCUAUGGUUGUUAAAAUGUAGGCAGACCAGAAGAUGGGUUCUCCAUAUCAUUGGCAUUCAGCAGGGAGAGGGUUGCUGACCACAAGACUGGAGAGUCUGGUGUUUUAAUCCAAGCUCAGAAGCUGCCCAUAUCUCUGAUCUCUACUGUCUUCUCUAGGGAUCCACAUGGGUUUAAAUGAUAUAGAAGCUGAGGGAAGGGAAGAACAGUAACUCGGGGGACACAUGAAAGCCAUAUCUCUCUCCACCUUUUUGCUGCAGGGUAACAGCUGAAUCCAAGCCCCAGCAGUGGAAGUCCUUCAACUCCCCCGCCAGGAGCCUCUCAUCCUGCACACCCUGCAGCCCUGCCAGAACCACUGCGUGCAGGAUUUAACAUCCAGGUGAGGGAAGCCCUCUGACUGUAGAUACAGUAAAGGGCCUGAAUCUAUUCAGCCUCCGCAAGAGAAGUGUGACAGGGGAUCUGGUGGCCAUCUAUAAACCAACCGGGGGGGACCAGCGGAAAAUAGGUGAGGCUCUGUUUCCCCCAGGCACCACCUGGAAUAACCACGAGUAACAGCCACAGAUUGAGAGCAGGUUCAG